This 86-nucleotide microRNA precursor is filed under the name Solanum tuberosum (potato). RNAcentral describes it as "MIR8024 microRNA precursor family". It matches the Rfam family "MIR8024 microRNA precursor family". The record is from Rfam by way of RNAcentral. Lineage: Eukaryota; Viridiplantae; Streptophyta; Magnoliopsida; Solanales; Solanaceae.
UUGGAGAAUUUGAAGACUUCAACUUGCAAACUUGAAGAUUUUGAAGAAUUUAACUUGUAUACUUGAAGAAUUUGAAGACUUCAUCU